Molecule: ribosomal RNA, 230 nt
Filed under: Acinetobacter baumannii
Lineage: Bacteria; Pseudomonadati; Pseudomonadota; Gammaproteobacteria; Moraxellales; Moraxellaceae
Description: partial 23S ribosomal RNA
Rfam family: Bacterial large subunit ribosomal RNA
Source: RNAcentral
AGGUUAACCGUAUAGGGGAGCCGUAGAGAAAUCGAGUCUUAAUAGGGCGUUUAGUUGCUGGGUAUAGACCCGAAACCAGGCGAUCUAUCCAUGAGCAGGUUGAAGGUUGGGUAACACUAACUGGAGGACCGAACCCACUGUCGUUGAAAAGCCAGGGGAUGACUUGUGGAUAGGGGGGAAAGGCUAAUCAAGCCUGGUGAUAGCUGGUUCUCCCCGAAAGCUAUUUAGGU